UACGGAGGGUGCGAGCGUUAAUCGGAAUUACUGGGGCGUAAAAGCGCACGCAGGCGGCUUGUUAAGCUAGAGGUGAAAGCCCCCGCGCUCAACGUGGGAAUGCCUUUAGAACUGGCAGGCUAGAGUCUUGGAGAGGGGAGUGGAAUUCCAGGUGUAGCGGUGAAAUGCGUAGAUAUCUGGAGGAACAUCAGUGGCGAAGGCGGCUCCCUGGCCAAAAGACUGACGCUCAUGUGCGAAAGUGUGGGUAGCGAACAGGAUUAGAUACCCCGGUAGUCC
Molecule: ribosomal RNA, 276 nt
Filed under: uncultured bacterium
Lineage: Bacteria
Description: partial 16S ribosomal RNA
Rfam family: Bacterial small subunit ribosomal RNA
Source: RNAcentral